Molecule: unclassified non-coding RNA, 212 nt
Filed under: Hevea brasiliensis (rubber tree)
Lineage: Eukaryota; Viridiplantae; Streptophyta; Magnoliopsida; Malpighiales; Euphorbiaceae
Source: RNAcentral
GUUUGUUUAAAGGUAUUGUGAACCUAAAACAUAAGUCAUGUAUAGAUUAAUGGGUGCUUAUAUGCUGCUAUAUUGAUGAUUAUGGUUAUAGGCUCUAUCAUGAGGUGGAAAAGAAAAAAUCAGCUAUUUUGUGGGUUGUUAGUACAGUGCAUUUGCAUUUUUCUUGUUGAUAAUUUGUUGGACAUGGACUUUGUGUGAGCAUGUGGCUCUCU